Molecule: long non-coding RNA, 1959 nt
Organism: Triticum dicoccoides
Lineage: Eukaryota; Viridiplantae; Streptophyta; Magnoliopsida; Poales; Poaceae
Exons: 4
Source: RefSeq, a predicted model, not a curated record
UACCGCCGCCUCUCCCUGGUACAUCCAUCUUCACUUCCUCGGGGCGCUGCUCGCCGGCUCAUGACGUGCUGUGGAGUUGACGCUUGCGCACACAAGUUCCCCUGUCUGGCUCUGCCGGCUCCCGUAGUUGAGCAGAGCGAGGAGAUCGAGAGAGGAAAUACUCACUUGAUUUUGCAAAUUAUGUUGGACAUGGAGAUUGAUUUGUUAUUUUUGGUUGACCCUUGAUUCAAGGAUGACAGCGCCCAAACCUUUCCCUGAUGUUUGGGCAAAGGCGUGUAUGUCUGAUGUGCGAGCAAAGCGACGAAACAAUGGUCGCUGGUUAUGUAGGGACUCGACGAUUACAGUUUCGGGAGCACCACUAUUGCUUGCUAGCAUAUAUUUUUCUUACAUAUAUGAACUGAAGAUGCUUUAUUUGGUGUUGUUUCCCAUGGCAGUAUGAUUUCUGCUAAUGUGCAUAGUUGAGUUUCUUUUUCACUUCCGAUUUAAGAUGCAAGUAAAAGGAUGACUUCACAUUGGCUAAAUCGCUUACUGUUGUUUAUUCUCGUGCGGCAGCAGAGGAAUAGACACGGCAAGGAAGAGAGCUACACCAAUGUAGUCGGUGGAAUUAACAGGCAAAGUAAAUCCUGAAGCUUCUGGUUGUAACAAGAGGUAAUUCCCCGUUUUCCAUGCACAAUGCAUUAGUUGAUACAGUGUAUUUGUGCGUUCAAAUAGCAACAUGAAUUUGGUUUUAGUAGUUUUUUAAUUCAAGUGUCAGAAAAAUUAUGCUGCUUAUUUUCGUAUCAUUUGUGAUGGAUCGAUUUUGUGUUGGAGGCGGAGGAUUGGGUCUGCACCUCUUACCACAGUUAGUUGUCAUCAGUGGCCUGCCAACGACACUGGUGAAGGAAUGAGUGUGGCCGGAGAUCGUUUGGUGACGUACGAUGCAUAUCAUGUGACAGAGUGGAGGCGCAGACUCCCUUGCCCCAGCUUUGGCGUCACCGCCUACCAAUGCGCAGCACAAGCCUGACUGACACAGCCCAAAUCCUGAUUGUAAGUUUCUCAUCUUCUAUCUCUUGUUCAUGUGGUCACAUUGAUUCUGCCUUUUCACAAAGGGUUGAAAGAAGAUUCUUUGCUUCAGACAACUAAAUGUCCAAUGAUAUCAUCAACCUUCAGUGAGCCGCGGCUCAGAACUCCAUCACCUCAAACGGCUUAGGAUAGAUUGAUGUUUCAUUCCACUUGCUUUCUGAUCCAUGUUUCAGUUGGUCCCGGCCCAGCAUCUAUCUUCACUUUCAGUUAAUGAACUAUAGACUAUGAAACUGAGGAAGACCCAAGGAUUUUGAUAGGCAGAUCUCAAGAGGGAAGUUGGACUGUGCUUUGAUAGAGCUAGACAAACUGAUAAAGAUUAUUUGAAAGGCUCUUUGCAAGCAUAAAAUUCUGAUGAAAACCAUAUUCUCUGCCAGCCAUAGAUUCAGAACCAUGGCCUUUUGCUGCUAAGCAGCGGCACCAUCACGGAGCAUGACGAGGUGUUGCAGUGAAGCUAUAGAGCGCGUUGUUCUAGCUCCCAAAUUCACAUGGUGGAUUCUAGGUUACUUGAGCUAUACAAGGCAGCCAUGUGACAACAGAGUAAACUGGAGUGAAAUAAAGUGAUGGAGAGCAAGAGUGUAGGGCAGUCAUGUGGCGGUGAUACACAAGACGAAAGUUCUACAUAAAGACUAACAGAAACAUGGGAAAAUCACAAGAAUGUUCCAUUCAAUACAAACAUAUACAACUUUUUUGUAUCGUAAUUUGGUUGUUUUGUACCGUAAUUUUGUUGAGUUUAGUUCUGGAGAAUGAGUAUGUUCUGUAGUUUUGUACCAUAAUUUGGUUGAGUUUAGUUCUGGAGAAUGAGUAUGUUCGUUCUGUAGUUAGCUUUUAGCAGUAUGUAGAGUAUGAAAGGACAUAUUUGCGGGAAAUUGGGAUAAACAAUAUGCGUGUGAACUAACU